Molecule: long non-coding RNA, 506 nt
Organism: Xiphophorus hellerii (green swordtail)
Lineage: Eukaryota; Metazoa; Chordata; Actinopteri; Cyprinodontiformes; Poeciliidae
Exons: 4
Source: RefSeq, a predicted model, not a curated record
CACCUCCAAAAAGGACAAGACCCCUCGACCCUCAGCCCUGGUUCCUGAUUUGACUGCUUUACUCUGCCUCAACCCAAGGAUCUCAAAGUUGCAGCAACAGACUUUGAGAAAAGACAAAGGUCACUGAGUGAUGAAGAUCUGAUGUGUUCGAAGGAUAACAGCCAGUUCUACUUUGCUUCUAUUCCAAAGAGGAUUUUGCCGUAUAAAGACAAAGACUCUGACCAAGGACAUUGGAACCUUCCGUUGCUGAGAUCAUUUUCCACCCGGGUAUGAUUUGAACUGCCUCCCAAAGCCUCUUUUAGUAAAUCAAGUGACACAGGUUAGGGAAAGAAGUUAGGGAAUUGUUUAGGUGAUUGUAUUCAAAUUGAUUUUUACUUUUAUUUUGUAAUCAUUGAUAAUUAAUCUGUCUGUCAUUUACCCCUGCUAAAUGCUUGCUUAAUAAAGAUACAUCAAAAUUAGAUUGAAAAUUGUGGACAUUGAAAUUAAUUGAGUCAUUUGUCAUUUUA